Molecule: non-coding RNA, 291 nt
Organism: Parasteatoda tepidariorum (common house spider)
Lineage: Eukaryota; Metazoa; Arthropoda; Arachnida; Araneae; Theridiidae
Source: RefSeq, a predicted model, not a curated record
CCAGUUGUUACUCAAUUUGGUAAGAGAUUGAUCACCUCUGCUAAUUCUAAUAGUGACAACUUAUCUUUACACAUUAGACAGCAAAAUUCUCAAAACGUUAAGGUUAAAAAUGUUGAAAAAAUAAAAGUUAAAGAUGUUUCGGUAAAAGUAAACAUUGAAAAAAAUAAGGUAAAGGGUAACAAAAAUAAAAGGAAAAGGACAAAUAGGAAAAAGAAAAAAUGUCCAAAAAUUUCAAAUGAUUCGAAGAUAGAUCUAGGUAAUGAGUGCACACAUUAUCAGGUUAAUAUCGAC